CCCAGGUCCCAGUCAACACUCAGUCACUCAUUCCUCACUCCUUUCUCUCUCUCUCUCUUCCUCACGCACUCACUCUCUCACGGUCUCAACUCUCACCUUCACGAUCCAGAGUUCCAGACCACCACCGGCCACCAGCCCACCACCACGGUACCACCACUACACCAGGCCCCAGCCACCACCACGGCACCACUCAUUGAUUCACGGUUCGACUGUUUCAGUGUUCACUCUUUUCUCUCUCUCUCUCUCAACGCUGCAACCCACCAGGCGGCAGCCACAGCCCACCAACGCCACCAGUCCACCACCACCGCCCACCGGCGGCUGCCCAACGCACCACCACACUCUCUCUCUGCUGCUGUUGAAGACUUGAAGCUUGAAGUGAAAUUAGACUGGGAAAUAAGCUUGUUGUCUUGGUUUGAGAUUGGAAAUUUGGAAUGUGAAGGGAAAUGAAUUCAUCCAUCAGAUGAUCAGAACCCAACUCCCUCUUUCCCAUCACCAGUCAACUCAACACUCUUUGCUCUGCUGAACGCGGGAUGGACUAAUAGGCUUGUCUAUUUAAUCUUUGAGGGAAGAAAAAGCUCUGAUAACACCAGAUUUUUGUUCCACCAGAUUUUGAACCCCCUGACCCCGGGUCCUGGAUCCGCCACUGAGUAUAGAGUAUACCUAUUAAGCAUAAACGAGAGUUGUAUUAUUUUCUGCAGGUGCCUCCUCCACCUAAAUAUUCAGUGACCACCAUGGUCAUCAUCACAUUUGCCACUUUGCUCUAUGCCAAGCAUUGCCACGCUCAAUUGGAGCACCAGACCACUCUACUCAAAUUUUGAAAGAACAUUUUAUUAUUUUGUUCAAUUUUUUUCUCCAUUGCUCUUCUCAAUCAAACAAAAGGUAGGUUUACCUUCA
Lotus japonicus is the source of this 894-nucleotide long non-coding RNA. RefSeq lists it as uncharacterized. Lineage: Eukaryota; Viridiplantae; Streptophyta; Magnoliopsida; Fabales; Fabaceae. The transcript has 3 exons. The record is from RefSeq and is a predicted model, not a curated record.